RNAcentral lists this transfer RNA (76 nucleotides) under Pythium insidiosum. RNAcentral describes it as "tRNA-Arg". The stretch from base 13 to 68 matches the Rfam family "tRNA", at positions 10 to 63 of the family's 71-position model. From Rfam's summary of the family: Transfer RNA (tRNA) molecules are approximately 80 nucleotides in length. Lineage: Eukaryota; Oomycota; Peronosporomycetes; Pythiales; Pythiaceae. The record is from RNAcentral.
GCGCCGGUUGGCCCGCAAUGGAUAGCGUAUCAGACUUCGAAUCUGGGGGUUGCGGGUUCGAGUCCCGCAUCGCGUA